UAGACGGUGCAGAAGGGCGGCAGCGUGU
RNAcentral lists this small RNA (28 nucleotides) under Bombyx mori (domestic silkworm). Its description in RNAcentral is "ovarian small RNA-6273". Lineage: Eukaryota; Metazoa; Arthropoda; Insecta; Lepidoptera; Bombycidae. The record is from RNAcentral.